GGGGUUGUAGUUAAAUUAACAUUUAAUUUGCAAUUAAAAAAUGUCUUUAAAAUUAUUGACCUGCCUCA
RNAcentral lists this transfer RNA (68 nucleotides) under Adrisa magna. RNAcentral's name for it is "tRNA-Ala". The record is from RNAcentral. Lineage: Eukaryota; Metazoa; Arthropoda; Insecta; Hemiptera; Cydnidae.